AUUGAACGCUGGCGGCAGGCCUAACACAUGCAAGUCGAGCGGCAGCGGGAAAGUAGCUUGCUACUUUUGUCGGCGAGCGGCGGACGGGUGAGUAAUGCCUGGGGAUCUGCCCAGUCGAGGGGGAUAACUACUGGGAAAGGUAGCUAAUACCGCAUACGCGCUUCGGGGGAAAGCAGGGGACCUUCGGGCGUUGCGCGAAUGGAUGAACCAAGGUGGGAUUAGCUAGUUGGUGAGGUAAUGGCUCACCAAGGCGACGAUCCCUAGCUGGUCUGAGAGGAUGAUCAGCCACACUGGAACUGAGACACGGUCCAGACUCCUACGGGAGGCAGCAGUGGGGAAUAUUGCACAAUGGGCGCAAGCCUGAUGCAGCCAUGCCGCGUGUAUGAAGAAGGCCUUCGGGUUGUAAAGUACUUUCAGUCGUGAGGAAGGUUGUAGCGUUAAUAGCGUUAUGAUUUGACGUUAGCGACAGAAGAAGCACCGGCUAACUCCGUGCCAGCAGCCGCAGUAAAAC
This 511-nucleotide ribosomal RNA is filed under the name uncultured bacterium. RNAcentral's name for it is "bacterial SSU rRNA". It matches the Rfam family "Bacterial small subunit ribosomal RNA", at positions 30 to 526 of the family's 1533-position model. The record is from RNAcentral.